RNAcentral lists this ribosomal RNA (38 nucleotides) under Salomonia cantoniensis. RNAcentral describes it as "partial 26S ribosomal RNA". The record is from RNAcentral. Lineage: Eukaryota; Viridiplantae; Streptophyta; Magnoliopsida; Fabales; Polygalaceae.
ACGCGACCCCAAGUCAGGCGGGAUCACCCGCUGAGUUU